This 73-nucleotide transfer RNA is filed under the name Microbotryum lychnidis-dioicae p1A1 Lamole. RNAcentral's name for it is "tRNA-Arg (TCT) (tRNA-Arg-TCT-1-1)". It matches the Rfam family "tRNA". Rfam says of the family: Transfer RNA (tRNA) molecules are approximately 80 nucleotides in length. Their secondary structure includes four short double-helical elements and three loops (D, anti-codon, and T loops). Lineage: Eukaryota; Fungi; Basidiomycota; Microbotryomycetes; Microbotryales; Microbotryaceae. The record is from RNAcentral.
GGGCAUUUGGCGCAAUGGUUAGCGCUUCAGACUUCUAAUCUGAGGGUUGCCGGUUCGAGUCCGGCAUUGCUCU